GGGCCCGCACAAGCGGUGGAGCAUGUGGUUUAAUUCGAUGCAACGCGAAGAACCUUACCUGGUCUUGACAUCCACAGAACUUUCCAGAGAUGGAUUGGUGCCUUCGGGAACUGUGAGACAGGUGCUGCAUGGCUGUCGUCAGCUCGUGUUGUGAAAUGUUGGGUUAAGUCCCGCAACGAGCGCAACCCUUAUCCUUUGUUGCCAGCGGUCCGGCCGGGAACUCAAAGGAGACUGCCAGUGAUAAACUGGAGGAAGGUGGGGAUGACGUCAAGUCAUCAUGGCCCUUACGACCAGGGCUACACACGUGCUACAAUGGCGCAUACAAAGAGAAGCGACCUCGCGAGAGCAAGCGGACCUCAUAAAGUGCGUCGUAGUCCGGAUUGGAGUCUGCAACUCGACUCCAUGAAGUCGGAAUCGCUAGUAAUCGUGGAUCAGAAUGCCACGGUGAAUACGUUCCCGGGCCUUGUACACACCGCCCGUCACACCAUGGGAGUGGGUUGCAAAAGAAGUAGGUAGCUUAACCUUCGGGAGGGCGCUUACCACUUUGUGAUUCAUGACUGGGGUGAAGUCGUAACAAGGUAACCGUAGGGGAACCUGCGGUUGGAUCAC
RNAcentral lists this ribosomal RNA (609 nucleotides) under Shigella sonnei. RNAcentral describes it as "bacterial SSU rRNA". It matches the Rfam family "Bacterial small subunit ribosomal RNA", at positions 917 to 1526 of the family's 1533-position model. Lineage: Bacteria; Pseudomonadati; Pseudomonadota; Gammaproteobacteria; Enterobacterales; Enterobacteriaceae. The record is from RNAcentral.